RNAcentral lists this ribosomal RNA (492 nucleotides) under uncultured bacterium. RNAcentral's name for it is "partial 16S ribosomal RNA". It matches the Rfam family "Bacterial small subunit ribosomal RNA", at positions 29 to 507 of the family's 1533-position model. The record is from RNAcentral.
AGUGAACGCUGGCGAUAGGCCUAACACAUGCAAGUCGAACGGCAGCACAGUAAGAGCUUGCUCUUACGGGUGGCGAGUGGCGGACGGGUGAGGAAUACAUCGGAAUCUACUUUUUCGUGGGGGAUAACGUAGGGAAACUUACGCUAAUACCGCAUACGACCUACGGGUGAAAGCAGGGGAUCUUCGGACCUUGCGCGAUUGAAUGAGCCGAUGUCGGAUUAGCUAGUUGGCGGGGUAAAGGCCCACCAAGGCGACGAUCCGUAGCUGGUCUGAGAGGAUGAUCAGCCACACUGGAACUGAGACACGGUCCAGACUCCUACGGGAGGCAGCAGUGGGGAAUAUUGGACAAUGGGCGCAAGCCUGAUCCAGCCAUAACGCGUGGGUGAAGAAGGCCUUCGGGUUGUAAAGCCCUUUUGUUGGGAAAGAAAAGCAGCAGGUUAAUACCCCGCUGUUCUGACGGUACCCAAAGAAUAAGCACCGGCUAACUUCGUG